GACGAACGCUGGCGGCGUGCCUAAUACAUGCAAGUCGAACGAACUCUGGUAUUGAUUGGUGCUUGCAUCAUGAUUUACAUUUGAGUGAGUGGCGAACUGGUGAGUAACACGUGGGAAACCUGCCCAGAAGCGGGGGAUAACACCUGGAAACAGAUGCUAAUACCGCAUAACAACUUGGACCGCAUGGUCCGAGCUUGAAAGAUGGCUUCGGCUAUCACUUUUGGAUGGUCCCGCGGCGUAUUAGCUAGAUGGUGGGGUAACGGCUCACCAUGGCAAUGAUACGUAGCCGACCUGAGAGGGUAAUCGGCCACAUUGGGACUGAGACACGGCCCAAACUCCUACGGGAGGCAGCAGUAGGGAAUCUUCCACAAUGGACGAAAGUCUGAUGGAGCAACGCCGCGUGAGUGAAGAAGGGUUUCGGCUCGUAAAACUCUGUUGUUAAAGAAGAACAUAUCUGAGAGUAACUGUUCAGGUAUUGACGGUAUUUAACCAGAAAGCCACGGCUAACUACGUGCCAGCAGCCGCGGUAAUACGUAGGUGGCAAGCGUUGUCCGGAUUUAUUGGGCGUAAAGCGAGCGCAGGCGGUUUUUUAAGUCUGAUGUGAAAGCCUUCGGCUCAACCGAAGAAGUGCAUCGGAAACUGGGAAACUUGAGUGCAGAAGAGGACAGUGGAACUCCAUGGUGUAGCGGUGAAAUGCGUAGAUGAAGAACACCAGUGGCGAAGGCGGCUGUCUGGUCUGUAACUGACGCUGAGGCUCGAAAGUAUGGGUAGCAAACAGGAUUAGAUACCCUGGUAGUCCAUACCGUAAACGAUGAAUGCUAAGUGUUGGAGGGUUUCCGCCCUUCAGUGCUGCAGCUAACGCAUUAAGCAUUCCGCCUGGGGAGUACGGCCGCAAGGCUGAAACUCAAAGGAAUUGACGGGGGCCCGCACAAGCGGUGGAGCAUGUGGUUUAAUUCGAAGCUACGCGAAGAACCUUACCAGGUCUUGACAUACUAUGCAAAUCUAAGAGAUUAGACGUUCCCUUCGGGGACAUGGAUACAGGUGGUGCAUGGUUGUCGUCAGCUCGUGUCGUGAGAUGUUGGGUUAAGUCCCGCAACGAGCGCAACCCUUAUUAUCAGUUGCCAGCAUUAAGUUGGGCACUCUGGUGAGACUGCCGGUGACAAACCGGAGGAAGGUGGGGAUGACGUCAAAUCAUCAUGCCCCUUAUGACCUGGGCUACACACGUGCUACAAUGGAUGGUACAACGAGUUGCGAACUCGCGAGAGUAAGCUAAUCUCUUAAAGCCAUUCUCAGUUCGGAUUGUAGGCUGCAACUCGCCUACAUGAAGUCGGAAUCGCUAGUAAUCGCGGAUCAGCAUGCCGCGGUGAAUACGUUCCCGGGCCUUGUACACACCGCCCGUCACACCAUGAGAGUUUGUAACACCCAAAGUCGGUGGGGUAACCUUUUAGGAACCAGCCGCCUAAGGUGGGACAGAUGAUUAGGGUG
This 1485-nucleotide ribosomal RNA is filed under the name Lactiplantibacillus plantarum. RNAcentral describes it as "bacterial SSU rRNA". It matches the Rfam family "Bacterial small subunit ribosomal RNA". Lineage: Bacteria; Bacillati; Bacillota; Bacilli; Lactobacillales; Lactobacillaceae. The record is from RNAcentral.